AUGCUCACUUUGGCAGCACAUAUACUAAAAUUGGAGCAAUACAAAGAAGAUUAGCAUGGCCCCUGCGCAAGAAUGACAGGCAAAUUCAUCAAGCACGCCAUAUUUUU
This 107-nucleotide small nuclear RNA is filed under the name Prolemur simus (greater bamboo lemur). Lineage: Eukaryota; Metazoa; Chordata; Mammalia; Primates; Lemuridae. The record is from RNAcentral.